This 253-nucleotide ribosomal RNA is filed under the name uncultured bacterium. RNAcentral's name for it is "partial 16S ribosomal RNA". It matches the Rfam family "Bacterial small subunit ribosomal RNA", at positions 524 to 776 of the family's 1533-position model. The record is from RNAcentral.
UACGAAGGGGGCUAGCGUUGCUCGGAAUCACUGGGCGUAAAGGGUGCGUAGGCGGGUCUUUAAGUCCGGGGUGAAAUCCUGGAGCUCAACUCCAGAACUGCCUUUGAUACUGAAGAUCUUGAGUCCGGGAGAGGUGAGUGCAACUGCGAGUGUAGAGGUGAAAUUCGUAGAUAUUCGCAAGAACACCAGUGGCGAAGGCGGCUCACUGGCCCGGUACUGACGCUGAGGCACGAAAGCGUGGGGAGCAAACAGG